This 507-nucleotide long non-coding RNA is filed under the name Mytilus galloprovincialis (Mediterranean mussel). The record is from RNAcentral. Lineage: Eukaryota; Metazoa; Mollusca; Bivalvia; Mytilida; Mytilidae.
GGCUGAUUUAAGUAUGAUGUCCGCCAUUUUGAAUUUUACCGGAAGUGAGACAUUUUUUUCAAAUGCCUCCCUAUCUGAAAUACAAGAGUAAUAGUUGAGGAAGGUUUAUGCCAAAUUUCAUGCUUGUAGCAGGAUGUGCACAAUUUUUUACCAAGCCGCCGUACUAAUAAUGGUUUACUUUUUUUAAAUUGUUAUUUGGAUGGAAGGUUGUCUCAUUGGCACUCGCACCACAUCUUCCUAUAUCUAUGUAUUCCUAACUAAAUUCCAGGAUUAUUUUGGGCAUAUUUAGACAGAAACAUAAAUUCCAGAAAUAAAAGCUGAUGACUUCCAUAUGUUUUGGUUCUAACCGUUACACUCAAAUUUCCAGACAUAUUGACAACAUCAUGAAAAAAAAUUCCAGUAUUUCUAAGUAGUGUAAUGAUUGUUAAUUCUGGAAUUUCGGAAGAUUUUGACAAUGGCGAAAAACUAUUUCCACAGAUGUUUUUUUGACAACUGAUGUCUUCCUUA